Molecule: unclassified non-coding RNA, 485 nt
Filed under: 'Prunus dulcis' phytoplasma PAE126
Lineage: Bacteria; Bacillati; Mycoplasmatota; Mollicutes; Acholeplasmatales; Acholeplasmataceae
Description: bacterial SSU rRNA
Rfam family: Bacterial small subunit ribosomal RNA (bases 1-344)
Source: RNAcentral
CAUGCCCUUUGACCUGGGCUACAAACGUGAUACAAUGGCUGUUACAAAGGGUAGCUGAAACGUAAGUUCUUGGCCAAUCCCCAAAAACAGUCUCAGUCCGGAUUGAAGUCUGCAACUCGACUUCAUGAAGUUGGAAUCGCUAGUAAUCGCGAAUCAGCAUGUCGCGGUGAAUACGUUCUCGGGGUUUGUACACACCGCCCGUCAAACCACGAAAGUUGGCAAUACCCAAAGCCGGUAGCCUAACUCGUUUAUUCGAGAGGGCGCUGUCUAAGGUAGGGUCGAUGAUUGGGGUUAAGUCGUAACAAGGUAUCCCUACCGGAAGGUGGGGAUGGAUCACCUCCUUUCUAAGGAAACCAAUAAAAUCAAUCAUCUUCAGUUUUGAAAGACUUAGGAUAACUAAGUUUUUCUUCGUGACUUCACGAAGGGCCUAUAGCUCAGUUGGUUAGAGCACACGCCUGAUAAGCGUGAGGUCGGUGGUUCAAGUC